RNAcentral lists this transfer RNA (72 nucleotides) under Bacteroidota bacterium. RNAcentral's name for it is "Bacteroidetes bacterium tRNA-His". It matches the Rfam family "tRNA". From Rfam's summary of the family: Transfer RNA (tRNA) molecules are approximately 80 nucleotides in length. Their secondary structure includes four short double-helical elements and three loops (D, anti-codon, and T loops). Further hydrogen bonds mediate the characteristic L-shaped molecular structure. tRNAs have two regions of fundamental functional importance: the anti-codon, which is responsible for specific mRNA codon recognition, and the 3' end, to which the tRNAs corresponding amino acid is attached (by aminoacyl-tRNA synthetases). tRNAs cope with the degeneracy of the genetic code in two manners: having more than one tRNA (with a specific anti-codon) for a particular amino acid; and 'wobble' base-pairing, i.e. permitting non-standard base-pairing at the 3rd anti-codon position. Lineage: Bacteria; Pseudomonadati; Bacteroidota. The record is from RNAcentral.
GGUGUCUCUAGCUUAUUGGUAAAGUACUUGACUGUGGAUCAGGAGAACAGGGUUCGAUUCCCGGGGACACCC